This 847-nucleotide ribosomal RNA is filed under the name Pseudomonas sp. MS8_2D5. Its description in RNAcentral is "bacterial SSU rRNA". It matches the Rfam family "Bacterial small subunit ribosomal RNA", at positions 135 to 1071 of the family's 1533-position model. The record is from RNAcentral. Lineage: Bacteria; Pseudomonadati; Pseudomonadota; Gammaproteobacteria; Pseudomonadales; Pseudomonadaceae.
GCGGGGAUGUCAUUCCGGCGGAGGUGAUAUGCCAAUCUCCUGGUGGGGGACAGCUCCCUCAAGCAGGGACCUUCGGCCUUGCGCUUCAUGAGUCGAUGGGAGUAAUGGUCCAAGGAAUCCGGAAGGAUGAUCGCUGAACACGGUCCAACGGGAGGCAGCAGUGGGGAAUAUUGGACAAUGGGCGAAAGCCUGAUCCAGCCAUGCCGCGUGUGUGAAGAAGGUCUUCGGAUUGUAAAGCACUUUAAGUUGGGAGGAAGGGCAGUAAGCGAAUACCUUGCUGUUUUGACGUUACCGACAGAAUAAGCACCGGCUAACUCUGUGCCAGCAGCCGCGGUAAUACAGAGGGUGCAAGCGUUAAUCGGAAUUACUGGGCGUAAAGCGCGCGUAGGUGGUUUGUUAAGUUGGAUGUGAAAGCCCCGGGCUCAACCUGGGAACUGCAUCCAAAACUGGCAAGCUAGAGUACGGUAGAGGGUGGUGGAAUUUCCUGUGUAGCGGUGAAAUGCGUAGAUAUAGGAAGGAACACCAGUGGCGAAGCGACCACCUGGACUGAUACUGACACUGAGUGCGAAAGCGUGGGGAGCAAACAGGAUAGAUACCCUGGUAGUCCACGCCGUAACGAUGUCAACUAGCCUUGGAAUCCUUGAGAUUUUAGUGGCGCACUACGCAUUAAGUUGACCGCCUGGGGAGUACGCCGCAGUUAAAACUCAAAUGAUGACGGGGCCCCCAGCGGUGGACAUGUGGUUUAAUUCAACAACGCGAAAACUUACCUUGACUGCAGAAUUUAAUGAUUGGGCUUGUCUGACCCUGCAGUGUCGCUCGCGUGUGGAUCCUAAGCUGGGGGUGGGGA